Molecule: long non-coding RNA, 1954 nt
Organism: Anthonomus grandis grandis
Lineage: Eukaryota; Metazoa; Arthropoda; Insecta; Coleoptera; Curculionidae
Exons: 4
Source: RefSeq, a predicted model, not a curated record
UCAGAUGACUUUCUAUAUUUUUAAUAAGCUUGUUUUCACACCAAUGUAGAUCGUCGGAAUUAUUUAAUUAUGUUGUUAUUUUUCAGUAUCAAUAUUUCUCCCUAAUUUUAGUAAUUAUAGUAUCAUUUAUGAAAAAGACAGUCAUUUGAUUGUCUGAAAAUGUCACGCUUAGCUCAUCGGCUGCUAUAUAUUCUGCAGUACCUAUAUUCAUGCAGUACCCAAUUAUGGAGUAUAUAAAUCUGCAGUAUUAAAUCAGCAGCAUUUAAUCUGCUCUACUCAAGCUCGAUUCAAUCAGCCAUUUGUCAGAUGCUUCUUAUUAAAAUAUACUAAGCUCAGCUUACACUGAGUUACUUAGAAGGUACAAAGGGGGCAAUAGAAUGAAACCAAGUAGGUUCCAGACAUCAAAAAAAAGUUACCACCAGCGGCGAUCCACCACCACUAUCAAUUUCGAGAAAUUUUAAUACCUGAGUAUAUUCACUAAAGAAAUCCAAUAUUGAGUUAGACUGUUUACUGAAGAAAUCACUGCAUCAAUCAUUCUGUCUGCAAUCGCUAGCAUUACACCCAUUACAAUCUGUACCGUGGUCACUACCACCUAGACAGAUAACUUAGUCACCGCCGCCCCAACCCUAAACUUUACUGAUAUGGCUAGAGUCAUUAUUUCUUUCUGUAUAUCCGUUAGUAUAUUAUCUAAUUAUCAGUUUAAUAGUUAGCUAAGAGUUUAUGAGUCUGCAUGUACUAAUAAUAUAACAUGCCCGCCGCUCAUGUCGAUACCAUGACAAUAUGUUUGUUUAUCAAUGCAGCCAUUGUACAUACCAGCUCUGUCUCAUAUGCAGUUCUCGUAGAACAACAAAUAAAUCAGUAUAAUAUUCCUGUUACCUCUAGUUAUGUCGGGCCACCUGUUGCAGAUAUACAGCACUUCUUCCUGCGGUCCAACUCAGGUCUUAAUUAAUUUGGUAAAUCAGAUUUAUCAGUUUCUGAAGGGUGAAGAUGAAAACUGAUGCAGGAAUAAUAAAAGAUAUUGGCAGACUUAGAGUCUGAAAGAUUUCUGCAGUCAUUUAUUGCCCGUCAACUACCUAGCCGAACUAGAAGCCGAAAUUGCUCGCCGCACGCAAAAACAGGGUAAAGCCGCCGCUAAAUAUACUACUGAAAUGCAAAUAUUACUCCGUCUUUUUGGAGGAUAUAAUGUAACACAAAAACUGAAGUGAUUAUAUUAUAUCCUGUUACCUAAUUAUCGUUUUUUUUUCUGGAGAUAAUCGUAGCGCAAAGAUUGAGGAGUCGACAGAUACACUAUUUUGCCAAACUUUGUUGUGUUGUACGUAAAAUUACGUACGUGCGAAAGACCGUCACAAUUUCUAAUAUUAUUUUUUUUGAUCAUUAAGUCUGCAUUUCAAAAAUAUUAAUCUUUUGUAUUCUGGCUUUAACUUAUACGACUAAAGCAUCUAUUAAUUGUACAAAUUCCCUUUAAUUUCUUUCAAUCUGAAACAGAAGAUCACUUAAGCAAUGUUAAAUUUAAAUAGAUUUGUUUUAAAAUGUUUGUCGGUUAAAGAUGAUGCUGCUCGGAGAAAUAUUCUAAUACUGAAAAUCCUACAAUAGAUUGAUAUACGAAAGUAGACAGGUUGUUAGCUAUUGUGCAGUUUUUACAGAAUUGUAAAUUUUCUAGGCGCUGGUUAUGCAACACAUACCAAAAUACAAAAUAGUUUCUGUAAUUUACACAAGAUUAAAAUUUAAAAGCAUUAAACGAUACAGAUACGCGCAAAACCAAAAUUCUGUACACUACUUUAUCAAAAUGCUUAUUAAAUUAUGCAAUUUACCUGAACUUUAAUCUCGUCCGCCAACCAUCCUAAAACGAAAACUUGCAGUACCAAGACAACUAAAUAGGAAAGCAAGAAAAUUAUUCCUGGGGAAGUUUCUCUCUAACUAAAAUUAAUUAAAAUAUAUGCUGACAUUAAAGACA